GGGCCCGCACAAGCGGUGGAGCAUGUGGUUUAAUUCGAUAAUACGCGAGGAACCUUACCUAGGCUAGAAUGCGAGUGACAUCCAGAGAGAUCUGGAGUUCUUCGGACACAAAGCAAGGUGCUGCAUGGUUGUCGUCAGCUCGUGCCGUGAGGUGUUGGGUUAAGUCCCGCAACGAGCGCAACCCCUGUUUUAGUUGCCAGCAAGUAAUGUUGGGACUCUAGAAAGACUGCCUGCGUAAAGCAGAGAGGAAGGAGGGGACGACGUCAAAUCAGCAUGGCCCUUAUGCCUAGGGCUACACACGUGCUACAAUGGCGUAUACAAAGGGUAGCGAACCAGUGAUGGUAAGCC
This 348-nucleotide ribosomal RNA is filed under the name uncultured bacterium. RNAcentral describes it as "bacterial SSU rRNA". It matches the Rfam family "Bacterial small subunit ribosomal RNA", at positions 917 to 1269 of the family's 1533-position model. The record is from RNAcentral.